Molecule: long non-coding RNA, 792 nt
Organism: Drosophila mojavensis
Lineage: Eukaryota; Metazoa; Arthropoda; Insecta; Diptera; Drosophilidae
Exons: 2
Source: RefSeq, a predicted model, not a curated record
CAUAUUCGUUUUUGGUAGUAUACAUAUAAGCUAUAAAAUCACUGUUAAAAGUAGUGAUGUGAAAAAACAUCGAUGCAUCGACAAUCGAUGUUUUUUUGGCGAUGUUUUCCGAUGUUUUCCGAUGUUUUUAUUGAUACCGAUGUUAAGCGAUGCAUCGAUGUUUGACAGAACAUCGGGCGUUAAAUUUCACAACAUUGCAGAACAUAUGGAUACACUGCCACAUAGAAAAAUUCGCGAAUUUGUUUCUUUUUUUUACCCUGUGUUUGCAAUGCCAAAAAUAACAACAAAGACAAGCUUUUGCUGGAGGCACUUUACAAAAUUGAUGGAAAUAGCGCGAAAUGCAACAUUUGCAACAAAGUUUUGAAGAUUGCGGGUAACACGACCAACAUGAAGGACCACCUGCGGUCCAUUCAUAAAAUAGAACAAAAUGUUGAAGAAAUGUUGUUUAAGAAUUGAAUUAACGAAAAAUAACGGAAUUGGUAGAAAACAUCGAUACAUCGAUGUUUAUAGCCGAUGUUUUACACAACAUCGAUUUAUCAUUUUGCAAACAUCGAUGAACAUCGACAUCGAAUUUUCGACCCAAAUUUACAUCACUAGUUAAAAGACACAGUAGGUUGCGCAAAGAGCAGUCCCGUUACUUUUAAUGUUAACUAACAGCUCUCUUGUGACGUCACAUUAUCAGAUUUUGCUAUGUUAUCCCGGCUGAAACUUGGAAGGCAUUUCAGCAGAGAUCGACUAAGUCGUCCAAAACAACCAAAAUUAACUAUAUAUAAAAAAUUUCAAUAGUAAAUA